GAUCGUGCCAUUGCACUCCAGCCUGGGUAACAAGAGCUAAACUCCGUCUCAAAAAUAAAUGAAUAUAGAUGAGAAGGACAAUUAGAAGUAUGAUUAGAUGGAAAGCAACAGAAAUAGAGAGCUUGUGCAGUGUAGACCUAGUUUUAGGGGUGACUGCAUACAGUCCUUUGUAAAUAGCAAAGUUAAGAGAAGAAUUCCUGUCAAUGUUAGAAUAUACUCUAAACUCGUGUGGUGGUGUCUACUCUUCAGGAAUUCGAGUUAGCUUAAGAGAAGUAGGAGAGAGUACUUGUGACUUCCAAGGGGAGGUGGGUGGGCUAGGCUGGUCAUAUGAUGGACACAGUUUGAUCCUGAACCAGUGAACCCGGUGGGGAGGGUCUUGUAGAUGGACAGCAGUUGGGGUACUGUAGACAGUCAGGUAGGGGCCUUUCCACUAAGGCUGUAGAGCAGGAGAGGUUAGAUCCUUAACCAGCACUGAUUGUUCAGCUGAGGUGUCCUCAUAAGGCCAGGUAUCUGGAGUUAGGUUAAGAGGAGAUUAUUAGCAGCUUGACUAAUUUCCUGCCUAGUUUGAUGGAGAAGGGGAAGAUUGUGUCCAAGAGGGCUAGUUUCUGGGAGGUUAGGCCCAAGCAAAAAGGUGUGGCCAUACAAGAGUUCAAAGGGGCUGUAUCCUGUGUGUUUCCAGGGAGUGGCAUGAAUUCGGAGAAGAGCAAUAGGUAGAAGGCAUACCCAGUUCUUUAGUUGAAGGGUAAGCUUGGUAAGGUGUGUUUUUAGGAGGCCAUUAGGUUUCUCUACUUUUCCUGAUGACGGAGGGUGGUAAGGGGCAUGGAGAUUCUAUUGAAUGCUAAGGGACUGAGAGAGUGCUUGGGUGAGAAGUUUCAGCAGGCAUGCUUCAGAGAAUUAUAUCUUGAAGCAGUGUUUGUGUCCUGAGUUCAUUUUCCAUCUGGCCUCUUGACUUUGGCUU
Sapajus apella (tufted capuchin) is the source of this 958-nucleotide long non-coding RNA. RefSeq lists it as uncharacterized. Lineage: Eukaryota; Metazoa; Chordata; Mammalia; Primates; Cebidae. The record is from RefSeq and is a predicted model, not a curated record. The transcript has 4 exons.